Molecule: ribosomal RNA, 1555 nt
Filed under: Streptococcus thermophilus
Lineage: Bacteria; Bacillati; Bacillota; Bacilli; Lactobacillales; Streptococcaceae
Description: bacterial SSU rRNA
Rfam family: Bacterial small subunit ribosomal RNA
Source: RNAcentral
UUAAUGAGAGUUUGAUCCUGGCUCAGGACGAACGCUGGCGGCGUGCCUAAUACAUGCAAGUAGAACGCUGAAGAGAGGAGCUUGCUCUUCUUGGAUGAGUUGCGAACGGGUGAGUAACGCGUAGGUAACCUGCCUUGUAGCGGGGGAUAACUAUUGGAAACGAUAGCUAAUACCGCAUAACAAUGGAUGACACAUGUCAUUUAUUUGAAAGGGGCAAUUGCUCCACUACAAGAUGGACCUGCGUUGUAUUAGCUAGUAGGUGAGGUAAUGGCUCACCUAGGCGACGAUACAUAGCCGACCUGAGAGGGUGAUCGGCCACACUGGGACUGAGACACGGCCCAGACUCCUACGGGAGGCAGCAGUAGGGAAUCUUCGGCAAUGGGGGCAACCCUGACCGAGCAACGCCGCGUGAGUGAAGAAGGUUUUCGGAUCGUAAAGCUCUGUUGUAAGUCAAGAACGGGUGUGAGAGUGGAAAGUUCACACUGUGACGGUAGCUUACCAGAAAGGGACGGCUAACUACGUGCCAGCAGCCGCGGUAAUACGUAGGUCCCGAGCGUUGUCCGGAUUUAUUGGGCGUAAAGCGAGCGCAGGCGGUUUGAUAAGUCUGAAGUUAAAGGCUGUGGCUCAACCAUAGUUCGCUUUGGAAACUGUCAAACUUGAGUGCAGAAGGGGAGAGUGGAAUUCCAUGUGUAGCGGUGAAAUGCGUAGAUAUAUGGAGGAACACCGGUGGCGAAAGCGGCUCUCUGGUCUGUAACUGACGCUGAGGCUCGAAAGCGUGGGGAGCGAACAGGAUUAGAUACCCUGGUAGUCCACGCCGUAAACGAUGAGUGCUAGGUGUUGGAUCCUUUCCGGGAUUCAGUGCCGCAGCUAACGCAUUAAGCACUCCGCCUGGGGAGUACGACCGCAAGGUUGAAACUCAAAGGAAUUGACGGGGGCCCGCACAAGCGGUGGAGCAUGUGGUUUAAUUCGAAGCAACGCGAAGAACCUUACCAGGUCUUGACAUCCCGAUGCUAUUUCUAGAGAUAGAAAGUUACUUCGGUACAUCGGUGACAGGUGGUGCAUGGUUGUCGUCAGCUCGUGUCGUGAGAUGUUGGGUUAAGUCCCGUAACGAGCGCAACCCCUAUUGUUAGUUGCCAUCAUUCAGUUGGGCACUCUAGCGAGACUGCCGGUAAUAAACCGGAGGAAGGUGGGGAUGACGUCAAAUCAUCAUGCCCCUUAUGACCUGGGCUACACACGUGCUACAAUGGUUGGUACAACGAGUUGCGAGUCGGUGACGGCGAGCUAAUCUCUUAAAGCCAAUCUCAGUUCGGAUUGUAGGCUGCAACUCGCCUACAUGAAGUCGGAAUCGCUAGUAAUCGCGGAUCAGCACGCCGCGGUGAAUACGUUCCCGGGCCUUGUACACACCGCCCGUCACACCACGAGAGUUUGUAACACCCGAAGUCGGUGAGGUAACCUUUUGGAGCCAGCCGCCUAAGGUGGGACAGAUGAUUGGGGUGAAGUCGUAACAAGGUAGCCGUAUCGGAAGGUGCGGCUGGAUCACCUCCUUUCUAAGGAA